Molecule: small nucleolar RNA, 107 nt
Organism: Dioscorea cayenensis subsp. rotundata (Guinea yam)
Lineage: Eukaryota; Viridiplantae; Streptophyta; Magnoliopsida; Dioscoreales; Dioscoreaceae
Source: RefSeq, a predicted model, not a curated record
AAUCCAUGUUGAGAGCAUUUUCACAGGAGCUCCUUGAACCUAUCCCUUGUCACAAAAAAAGACUCUAAUUCUGUUUGCACAAAAGAAGAUAUCUCAUUCCUAAGCUU